Pseudoliparis swirei is the source of this 499-nucleotide long non-coding RNA. RefSeq lists it as uncharacterized. The transcript is spliced from 3 exons. The record is from RefSeq and is a predicted model, not a curated record. Lineage: Eukaryota; Metazoa; Chordata; Actinopteri; Perciformes; Liparidae.
GGUCCUGGUCUCAGGUCCUGGUCUCAGGUCCCGGUCUCAGGUCCCGGUCUCAGGUCCCGGUCUCAGGUCCCGGUCUCAGGUUCCGGUCUCAGGUCCCGGUCUCAGGUCCCGGUCUCAGAUCCCGGUCUCAGGUCCCGGUCUCAGAUUCCGGUCUCAGGUCCUGGUCUCAGGUUCCGGUCUCAGGUCCUGGUCUCAGGUCCUGGUCUCAGGUUCUGGUCUCAGGUCCCGGUCUCAGGUCCCGGUCUCAGGUCCCGGUCUCAGGUCCCGGUCUCAGGUCCCGGUCUCAGGUUCCGGUCUCAGGUCCCGGUCUCAGGUCCCGGUCUCAGGUUCCGGUCUCAGGUCCCGGUCUCAGGUCCCGGUCUCAGAUCCUGGUCUCAGGUUCUGGUCUCAGGUCCUGGUCUCAGGUCCCGGUCUCAGGUCCCGGUCUCAGGUCCCGGUCUCAGGUCCCGGUCUCAGGUCCUGGUCUCAGGUUCUGGUUCUGAUGCGUCUGUGCUUGUGG